Non-coding RNA from Myodes glareolus (Bank vole), 309 nucleotides. The record is from RefSeq and is a predicted model, not a curated record. Lineage: Eukaryota; Metazoa; Chordata; Mammalia; Rodentia; Cricetidae.
AGCAAAGACACACUAGUAGGCACCAGCAAGAAAACAGACAGAAACCUAGAUCUCAGCCUAUAGAUGCCAUUCUCUGCUCACAUGAGCCAAGGCUCUUCCUGGGGUAUUCACAGUGGGCUUGAGGAGCUGCCAGACACUGUAGAACACUUUGCUACGCCAGACGGGGAGAAAGCAUUCAAAGCACCAGCCGAAAGGGCCACGGCCCCAGCUUGGAACUGAGAAGGGAGUGUUGUCACUGACACAAUCCAAGAUGAGACCCAUCAGGCUGAAAGAGACAGGAGAGGAAGGCUUAAACCGGAAUUCAGACUG